Molecule: ribosomal RNA, 253 nt
Filed under: uncultured bacterium
Lineage: Bacteria
Description: partial 16S ribosomal RNA
Rfam family: Bacterial small subunit ribosomal RNA
Source: RNAcentral
UACGGAGGGGGCUAGCGUUGUUCGGAAUUACUGGGCGUAAAGCGCACGUAGGCGGUUUUGUUAGUUAGAGGUGAAAGCCCGGGGCUCAACUCCGGAAUUGCCUUUAAGACUGCAUCGCUAGAAUUGUGGAGAGGUAAGUGGAAUUCCGAGUGUAGAGGUGAAAUUCGUAGAUAUUCGGAAGAACACCAGUGGCGAAGGCGACUUACUGGACACAUAUUGACGCUGAGGUGCGAAAGCGUGGGGAGCAAACAGG